Molecule: ribosomal RNA, 254 nt
Filed under: uncultured bacterium
Lineage: Bacteria
Description: partial 16S ribosomal RNA
Rfam family: Bacterial small subunit ribosomal RNA
Source: RNAcentral
UACGUAGGGGCCGAGCGUUGUCCGGAGUUACUGGGCGUAAAGCGCGCGCAGGCGGCUCGUCAAGCCUGACGUGAAAGCCCCCGGCUCAACCGGGGAGGGUCGUCGGGGACUGGCGGGCUUGAGGUCGGCAGGGGUUGGUGGAAUUCCCGGUGGUAGUGGUGAAAUGCGUAGAGAUCGGGAGGAACACCUGUGGCGAAGGCGGCUCGCUGGGCCGGUCCUGACGCUGAGACGCGAAGGCGUGGGGAGCGAACGGG